Molecule: non-coding RNA, 611 nt
Organism: Pelobates cultripes (western spadefoot toad)
Lineage: Eukaryota; Metazoa; Chordata; Amphibia; Anura; Pelobatidae
Source: the annotation of a GenBank genome assembly
GAUUAUUCCACCUAAGCGCCUAUAAAGUGUGAGUACAUAUUUUAUUUACGCUCACCUUACUGUAUUUUUUUUUUUAACAUACUUCACUAUCAGUUUCCUCUCCUUUUCAUGGUUUUAUAUACACACACCAAGGACACUAUAGAAAUAUUGUCCCUCUGCCAAUAGCUAGGUGUGUCGUCCCUCUUGUGGAGGAUUUGAAGACGCUGGACAUACUCAUGCAAAGGGUGAGGACAUCCUGCUUCGUUUCACAGAGUUAAACCAGGAAGCGCUUCUAGUGGCUGUCUGGAAGCCAGACAUUAGAGGUGGAGUUAGCCUUGGAAUGUAAUUAUUGCAGUUUCUCUAAAACUAGUGUUUUACAUUGCAGGGCUAAGAGGGACAGGGACACUGCAUUCAGACCACUUCAAUGAGAUUAAGUGGUCUGGGUACCUGUAGUAUCCUUUUUAAAGCACGGCUGUGCAAACCUCCGGUGCCAGUAUGCCACAGCCUUUACAAAUUUGUCUCCUGGCAUGUAAGUUAUGCAAAGUAAGAGAACCUAAAUAUAGCAUGUCUGUUACACAUGGACACAGCCUGUAUAGAUUUCAGUAAAACAGGAGAUCUACAUCAACCAUAAG